GGAGUAAACCUAUCUUCUUUCCGUGUUAAAGAGGAAAGAUGGGCUGUGAACAAGUAUGGCUUUCCUACAAUCAACUCUUUCUUGCCUUCUUUUUCUUCCUUUGCCAACUCACUUGUUUGCAUGCCCAACUCUGCACUCAAGAACAAACCUCUGCUCUACUGCAAUUUAAACAAAAUUUUUCCUUCAAUGAAUAUGCUUCUGGGUAUUGUGAUGCUUCUUUUUCCAAAAUGGAGUCUUGGAAAAACGGUUCUGAUUGUUGUUCGUGGGAUGGGGUUGAUUGUGAUGGAGAGACGGGUCAAGUAAUUGGACUCGACCUUACCUGCAGCUGGCUCCAAGGCACCAUCCAUCCUAAUAGCAGUCUCUUCCUCUCUUUUCCUCACCUCCAAAAGCUCAACCUCGCUCACAAUGACUUUUCCAUGUCUCCCAUCUCACUUGAAUUCGCUUGGUUCACUGAAUUGACACACCUCAAUCUCUCUGAUUGUCGUUUUUCGGGCAAAGUCCCAGUAGAAGUUUCCUUCCUAAACAAAUUAGUCUCCCUUGAUCUCUCUGCAAAUGAUGGUUUGAGAUUGGAAGAAGGCGGAUUCGAGUUACUCAUUCAAAAUUUAUCCAACUUAAGAGAUCUUAAUCUUGAUGAUGUAAACAUGUCUUCUUCGGUGGUUCCAAGUUCCUUGCUCAAUUUGACUUCUUUAAGAACCCUUCAUCUCUACUCCUCUAGUUUACAUGGAAACUUCCCUAGUGGAAUGUUUCUUUUACCAUAUCUACAGGAGUUGGACCUGGGGAACAAUCAUGCUCUCACAGGUUAUUUACCCGAUUUCAAGAAUUUGAGCUAUCCUCUCCAGUACUUACGUCUCGCAAGAACAGGUUUUUCUGGAGAAUGGCCUCACUCAAUUGCUAAUCUGAAGUCCUUGAAGGUAUUGAUACUCUUUGAUUGCUAUUUCAAUGGAUCCAUUCCUACUUCUCUUUGGAACCUUACACAUAUUACUUAUUUAGACGUCUCAUCCAACAAAUUCAGUGGUAUCCUCCCAUCUUCAAUUUCAAACCUAAGAAAAAUCCUUAUAUUGAACCUUUCGUAUAAUAAUUUCGGAGGUUCCUUCUUUUCAUGGGAUGCAAACAUGACCGAAAUUGUGCUUUUGGAUGUGUCAUAUAAUAUUCUCACUGGUUCUCUUCCUUCACAAGUAAUUGUACCUCCGAAUCUACUCGUUUUCAACAUAGGCCGAAACUUGAUCAACGGUACAAUUCCAUCUUGGGUCUUUGAACUACCUGUACUCGCUUGCUUAGAUCUCAGCUAUAACAAUUUGAGUGGGCAUACACUUGAGUUUCAGUCCACUUCGCUGGAGAUUAUUGAUUUGAGCAAUAACAACCUACUUGGUAGUGUUCCAAAUUCAACCUAUCAACUCCAAAGCCUUACCCACCUCAUUCUUUCUUCAAAUAACUUUUCUGGUCCCGUUCUUGAAUCAAAUAGAUUCAGUGAAAGUCUUAGGGUGCUCAAACUACAGGAUAAUAACUUCUCUGGCACCAUUCAUGAUUCAUUUACCAUGGAAAAUCGUUUGAAAACUAUCAGUCUUAAUGGAAAUGGAUUUAGAGGGCCAAUACCGAAGUCUCUGGAUAACUGUAGAAAUCUAGAAGUGCUAGAUAUCGGAAGAAACAAGUUCUUUGACAAAUUUCCGCAUUGGUUGGGAAAUUUACCAAACUUGCAUGUCCUAAUCUUGCAAUCCAACAAAUUCCACGAUUCCAUCGUGACUUCCACCAUUGAAUUUCCCUUCCCCAUGUUGCGAGUUCUUGAUAUGUCGAACAAUCAUUUCACUGGUCCAUUGCCCAUAAACUACUUCGAAAGUUUCAAAGCAAUGAUGAAUGUGGAUGAAAUGCAUUUUGAUUUGGAAUAUAUGGGAACCAAUGGUUAUGGUCAAAUUUAUUAUGAUUCUUUGACUAUAGUACUCAAAGGAUCGGCCAUUGAAAUGACAAAAAUCCUCAAAGUUUUCACAGCCAUUGAUUUAUCAAGCAACAAGUUUGAGGGUGAGAUUCCUGAUAUCAUCGGUGGGCUAAUUUCGAUUCGAGGACUGAAUUUAUCACACAACAGCUUCACAGGUCAUAUACCAAAGUCACUUGGUAAUUUGACAAAGCUCGAAUGGUUAGACCUCUCAUCAAACAAGCUCACUGGGGAGAUCCCUCCACAACUCACGAAUUUAAUCUCUCUCGGAACGCUUAACCUUUCGCAAAAUUGCCUAACGGGGCCUAUACCUCGAGGUAAACAAUUCGAUACAUUUUUGAAUGAUUCUUACAUCAACAACUCAGCGUUAUGCGGACUUCCGUUGUCAAAUACAUGUGGCGAUUCUAAGGCAACACAGCCACCACCGUCGACAUUUGAAGAAAAAGAUUCGGAGCCUCUGAGUGGAUUUAUUUGGGAAGUCAUAUUUCCAGGUUAUGGCUUUGGAUUGGUCGUUGGACUUGUCAUGGGAUAUCUUAUGUUCUCGUUUCGUAAACCUCAUUGGCUUGUGAAGAUGGUUGAAGGUUUAGGAAACAGAGAUGGAAAGAGGCUGUAAAGUAAUGCUCGGAGAGUUGGAGGCAGAAGAAAUUAGCAAAAUGCAAAUGGUAUUGUAUGAUAUGGGGGAAAAGUCAUGAAUCUCUUGCAAGUCUCAGAUAUGGGUUUCUGCCAUUUCUCUAAGGAAAAACUUUGAUUGUAGGAGGUUGAUCUGAUGGGAGGUCGUAAUAAAAAGAGCACAGCGAAAUGAGAUGCUUUAUGCUUAGGGUGAUCAGUCCAUAACUACUGUGCUUUUUUUACGAGAUUUUGUACUUAUGUAUUCCAUAAAUCUUUUUGUAUCCCCUUCCGGCCUUUCCGGUCUUGGAAGGAAGAAGAGAAAAUUCACAUCGAAUGUUGAACUGCUCUUUGGUUUAUAAAUAAAUUGCUUGCAAUAAUGUUUGCCACUUAUAUCCAAAUGGAUUGAACACAGGAAAA
RNA transcript from Rhododendron vialii, 2953 nucleotides. It is a transcript of the gene named receptor-like protein Cf-9, with no coding region annotated. The record is from RefSeq and is a predicted model, not a curated record. The transcript has 2 exons. NCBI's taxonomy places the organism in Eukaryota, Viridiplantae, Streptophyta, Magnoliopsida, Ericales, Ericaceae.